GACGAACGCUGGCGGCGUGCUUAACACAUGCAAGUCGAACGGAAAGGCCCUGCUUUUGUGGGGUGCUCGAGUGGCGAACGGGUGAGUAACACGUGAGUAACCUGCCCUUGACUUUGGGAUAACUUCAGGAAACUGGGGCUAAUACCGGAUAGGAGCUCCUGCUGCAUGGUGGGGUUUGGAAAGUUUCGGCGGUUGUGGAUGGACUCGCGGCUUAUCAGCUUGUUGGUGGGGUAGUGGCUUACCAAGGCUUUGACGGGUAGCCGGCCUGAGAGGGUGACCGGCCACAUUGGGACUGAGAUACGGCCCAGACUCCUACGGGCGGCAGCAGUGGGGAAUAUUGCACAAUGGGCGGAAGUCUGAUGCAGCAACGCCGCGUGCGGGAUGACGGCCUUCGGGUUGUAAACCGCUUUCGCCUGUGACGAAGCGUGAGUGACGGUAAUGGGUAAAGAAGCACCGGCUAACUACGUG
Molecule: ribosomal RNA, 468 nt
Filed under: uncultured bacterium
Lineage: Bacteria
Description: partial 16S ribosomal RNA
Rfam family: Bacterial small subunit ribosomal RNA
Source: RNAcentral